CUUGACUCGAUAGCAGUGUUCUGCAUUUUGCUUCUGCAAAAAGCCAUUCCUAGCGCUCAUUCAAAGCUUUCAUACACUUCAACGGAUACAGAAGAAGACUACUUUCAACUGAGAAUCAUGGAACUUCGACGAUCACAGAGGAUUAGACGUCCCCCCCACUGGUUCUCCGACUACUUGGUGGAGUUUCCUGUGCGGAGAACCAGGGUUCAGCUGACUGUGAAGGUUGUAGAUGAUCUUCAGGAGCCUGAGAAGGUGGC
Molecule: long non-coding RNA, 257 nt
Organism: Saccostrea cuccullata (small rock oyster)
Lineage: Eukaryota; Metazoa; Mollusca; Bivalvia; Ostreida; Ostreidae
Exons: 3
Source: RefSeq, a predicted model, not a curated record